RNAcentral lists this ribosomal RNA (252 nucleotides) under uncultured bacterium. RNAcentral describes it as "partial 16S ribosomal RNA". It matches the Rfam family "Bacterial small subunit ribosomal RNA", at positions 524 to 776 of the family's 1533-position model. The record is from RNAcentral.
UACGUAGGGGGCUGGCGUUAUCCGGAAUUACUGGGCGUAAAGGGUGCGUAGGUGGUUUCUUAAGUCAGAGGUGAAAGGCUACGGCUCAACCGUAGUAAGCCUUUGAAACUGGGAAACUUGAGUGCAGGAGAGGAGAGUGGAAUUCCUAGUGUAGCGGUGAAAUGCGUAGAUAUUAGGAGGAACACCAGUUGCGAAGGCGGCUCUCUGGACUGUAACUGACACUGAGGCACGAAAGCGUGGGGAGCAAACAGG